Molecule: long non-coding RNA, 405 nt
Organism: Daphnia magna
Lineage: Eukaryota; Metazoa; Arthropoda; Branchiopoda; Diplostraca; Daphniidae
Exons: 2
Source: RefSeq, a predicted model, not a curated record
AUUUGUUUCUGUUUACAUCAACACUUGUUCAUUUUUAUUAUUGAAUAACAAUUACAAAUGACUGUGUAUUUCAAUAAUUCAAAGGAAAUGAUUUUAUAUCAUGGUAAGUUUUGUUGUUACUGUUAUUGUCCAAAAUAUUUUAAUAUUUAUAUCCUUUUUUUCAUUUCAUGGUCAAACUCAUGUGAGUUGAUUGAUUGGAAAGUUAAGUCACAUUCAUUAUUAUUGGACAACACCAAUAUUAUCAUCAGAAGUGGUCAGGUGUCACAUGUCGACAAAAAAUUUCUUAGCUAUAGGCCUUUAUUCAUAAUUACAAUUUCUCUACGUAUGAUUAUUUUACUUUUCAAUAUUACCUUAUCGUGUACAUUAAUUGAAAUUUUAAUACAAAUUAGAUCAUACCAAAGAAAA